RNAcentral lists this ribosomal RNA (466 nucleotides) under uncultured bacterium. RNAcentral describes it as "partial 16S ribosomal RNA". It matches the Rfam family "Bacterial small subunit ribosomal RNA", at positions 28 to 506 of the family's 1533-position model. The record is from RNAcentral.
GACGAACGCUGGCGGCGUGCUUAACACAUGCAAGUCGAACGGAAAGGCCCUGCUUUUGUGGGGUGCUCGAGUGGCGAACGGGUGAGUAACACGUGAGUAACCUGCCCUUGACUUUGGGAUAACUUCAGGAAACUGGGCUAAUACCGGAUAGGAGCUCCUGCUGCAUGGUGGGGGUUGGAAAGUUUCGGCGGUUGGGGAUGGACUCGCGGCUUAUCAGCUUGUUGGUGGGGUAGUGGCUUACCAAGGCUUUGACGGGUAGCCGGCCUGAGAGGGUGACCGGCCACAUUGGGACUGAGAUACGGCCCAGACUCCUACGGGAGGCAGCAGGGGGGAAUAUGGCACAAUGGGCGGAAGCCUGAUGCAGCAACGCCGCGUGCGGGAGGACGGCCUUCGGGUGGUAAACCGCUUUCGCCUGUGACGAAGCGUGAGUGACGGUAAUGGGUAAAGAAGCACCGGCGAACUACGU